This 864-nucleotide ribosomal RNA is filed under the name uncultured bacterium. RNAcentral describes it as "bacterial SSU rRNA". It matches the Rfam family "Bacterial small subunit ribosomal RNA", at positions 631 to 1504 of the family's 1533-position model. The record is from RNAcentral.
AACUGUAUGACUGGCGUGGGUGUGAGGUAGGCGGAAUGCGUUGUGUAGCGGUGAAAUGCAUAGAUAUGACGCAGAACUCCGAUUGCGAAGGCAGCUUACCAACACUUUACGGACGCUGAGGCACGAAAGCGUGGGUAUCGAACAGGAUUAGAUACCCUGGUAGUCCACGCAGUAAACGAUGAAUACUAAUUGUUCGGGGGGCAACCCCUGAGUGAUACAGCGAAAGCGUUAAGUAUUCCACCUGGGGAGUACGCCGGCAACGGUGAAACUCAAAGGAAUUGACGGGGGCCCGCACAAGCGGAGGAACAUGUGGUUUAAUUCGAUGAUACGCGAGGAACCAUACCCGGGCUCAAACGUUGGGGGAAUGCUCCUGAAAGGGAGCAGCCAGCAAUGGUCGCCAACGAGGUGCUGCAUGGUUGUCGUCAGCUCGUGCCGUGAGGUGUCGGCUUAAGUGCCAUAACGAGCGCAACCCCUGCGUCCAGUUACCAUCAAGUCAUGUUGGGGACUCUGGACGGACUGCCGGCGCAAGCCGUGAGGAAGGCGGGGAUGACGUCAAAUCAGCACGGCCCUUACGUCCGGGGCGACACACGUGUUACAAUGGCGUGGAACAGCGGGAAGCCACCUGGCGACAGGGAGCGGACCCCUAAAACACGUCUCAGUUCGGAUUGGAGUCUGCAGCUCGACUCCAUGAAGCUGGAUUCGCUAGUAAUCGCGCAUCAGCCAUGGCGCGGUGAAUACGUUCCCGGGCCUUGUACACACCGCCCGUCAAGCCAUGGGAGCCGGGAGUGCCUGAAGUACGUAACCGGAAGGAGCGUCCAAGGGUAACACUGGUGACUGGGGCUAAGUCGUAACAAGGUAGCCGUA